Molecule: ribosomal RNA, 372 nt
Filed under: uncultured organism
Description: partial 16S ribosomal RNA
Rfam family: Bacterial small subunit ribosomal RNA
Source: RNAcentral
GUAGGUGGCAAGCGUUGUCCGGAAUUAUGGGCGUAAAGCGCGCGCAGGCGGGUUCUUUAAGUCUGAUGUGAAAGCCCACGGGCUCAACCGUGGAGGGUCAUUGGAAACUGGAGAACUUGAGUACAGAAGAGGAAAGCGGAAUUCCACGUGUAGCGGUGAAAUGCGUAGAGAUGUGGAGGAACACCAGUGGCGAAGGCGGCUUUCUGGUCCGUAACUGACGCUGAGGCGCGAAAGCGUGGGGAGCAAACAGGAUUAGAUACCCUGGUAGUCCACGCCGUAAACGAUGAGUGCUAAGUGUUAGGGGGUUUCCGCCCCUUAGUGCUGCAGCUAACGCAUUAAGCACUCCGCCUGGGGAGUACGGCCGCAAGGCUG